This 460-nucleotide ribosomal RNA is filed under the name uncultured bacterium. Its description in RNAcentral is "partial 16S ribosomal RNA". It matches the Rfam family "Bacterial small subunit ribosomal RNA", at positions 338 to 795 of the family's 1533-position model. The record is from RNAcentral.
CCUACGGGUGGCAGCAGUGAGGAAUAUUGGUCAAUGGGCGCGAGCCUGAACCAGCCAAGUAGCGUGAAGGAUGACUGCCCUACGGGUUGUAAACUUCUUUUAUAAAGGAAUAAAGUGCGGCACGUGUGCCUUUUUGUAUGUACUUUAUGAAUAAGGAUCGGCUAACUCCGUGCCAGCAGCCGCGGUAAUACGGAGGAUCCGAGCGUUAUCCGGAUUUAUUGGGUUUAAAGGGGGCGUAGAUGGGUUUUUAAGUCAGUGGUGAAAGUUUGCGGCUCAACCUUAAAAUUGCAAUUGAUACUGGCAGGCUUGAGUACAUUUGAGGUAGGCGGAAUGCGUGGUGUAGCGGUGAAAUGCAGAGAUAUCACGAAGAACUCCGAUUGCGAAGGCAGCUUACCAAGCUGCCACUGACAUUGAUGCUCGAAAGUGUGGGUAUCAAACAGGAUUAGAUACCCUAGUAGUC